This 253-nucleotide ribosomal RNA is filed under the name uncultured bacterium. RNAcentral's name for it is "partial 16S ribosomal RNA". It matches the Rfam family "Bacterial small subunit ribosomal RNA", at positions 524 to 776 of the family's 1533-position model. The record is from RNAcentral.
UACGUAGGGUGCGAGCGUUGUCCGGAAUUAUUGGGCGUAAAGGGCUCGUAGGCGGUCUGUUGCGUCGGGAGUGAAAACUCAGGGCUUAACCCUGAGCCUGCUUCCGAUACGGGCAGACUGGAGGUAUGCAGGGGAGAACGGAAUUCCUGGUGUAGCGGUGAAAUGCGCAGAUAUCAGGAGGAACACCGGUGGCGAAGGCGGUUCUCUGGGCAUUACCUGACGCUGAGGAGCGAAAGUGUGGGGAGCGAACAGG